AUGCAUAUGGGGAUUUACUGGGUUUGUUGUUUGUUAUAUCCGGCCCCAUUUAAAUUGUUUAGAUGGUAUAGUUUUGUUAUGUUUCACCUCUUGACAUGCUUAACAACAUUUAAUAUUGUUGGGUACAUAAACGAGAUCGAACUAAAUAACUUGAAUGUGAUGUUUCGUCAAUAUGUAACGGAGUUGCAUGUUGAGAUCCACUUAAUUUGUAGGAUUGUUUGUGCAUUUGCCAUGCCAUGUUUCAUUAAACCGGACAUGCAUCAUACUUGGUUGUCAAUCAUGCCAUGUUUAUGUGAUGGUUGUUUACUAUGUUGUUUCCUUCUUUCCGGUGUUGCUUCUUUGGGUUAG
Molecule: ribosomal RNA, 348 nt
Filed under: Triticum aestivum (bread wheat)
Lineage: Eukaryota; Viridiplantae; Streptophyta; Magnoliopsida; Poales; Poaceae
Description: partial small subunit ribosomal RNA
Source: RNAcentral